Papaver somniferum (opium poppy) is the source of this 1166-nucleotide long non-coding RNA. RefSeq lists it as uncharacterized. The transcript is spliced from 7 exons. NCBI's taxonomy places the organism in Eukaryota, Viridiplantae, Streptophyta, Magnoliopsida, Ranunculales, Papaveraceae. The record is from RefSeq and is a predicted model, not a curated record.
UUUCUCGUUCCUCCUGUGAACCCUAAUGAAACCCCAAAUCCUUUUCCCUCUUUUGGAGAAAGUUCUGAAAUCAUUCAAAUGAAAACCUAUGUUCUUCAUCACUGUCCUGCAUCUUCUCGAUUGAAAAACCAAUAUCUAACCCCUAACCCUAGAUUUGAUGUUCCUGCUGCUGAACAAGACGAACCAAGAUAAUUUUUAUAUCAGAAACUCACUAAUCUCGUGUAGAAGAUUUACAGUCUUAGUUACAUUUCUGAACAAAUCGAUUAAGUGGUUCGAUUCUAGUACUGGUGGUGGUGAAAAAGAACUCAAUAUCUUCAAACAAAGAAACGAUUCAUUGGUAGCUUGUGUUGUUAAUGAUAAAAUCCUUCUCGCGAUUAAUUGGAGUUGCAGGUUACUUAAACUGGUAUUUAUUUUGAUUCCUGAUGAUGAUGGUGUGGUGGUGGUGAUGGAGAAGAAGAUGACUCAGUUUGCUAAGAAGAUUGCUCCACCAUGCUUGUCUAUAGAUUCCAGGCUUACUGAAUGUGGAUUUUGGCGAUGUAAAAGCUAUAAUGAAAGACAUGGGAACAACAAUGCUUGGUGUUGGGAUUUCCAUUGGCAAAUCGAGCUGAAGAGGCAGCACUACAGCCUACAGUCAACCUCAGCUCCAUUGAUAGAUAGAUCAAUUGAGCAGGCAACUGGGUGUGGAUAUUAAUAUUUUUGAUUGAAAGGACCGGACUUUGCAAGGGGUGAACAGAGUGGCACAGAUACACAGGCGAGGUGCAUGAUUGCUUCUCUUCGGCAUGUAUUAUAGUCCUUCUUCACGAUAAUCUUGGGUCGCUUUGGACAACAAAAGGCAAGCCUUCUAGUGAUGCAGAUUCGACGGUGUCAAAUAUUAUUUUGCACGACUGAGCAGCUCCUCCAUACCUUGAAAGGGUCGGCAAAAAAGCUUCGAAGAGUUAACUAACAUGGUUGAACCCCAUCUCAAAAUUCUAAGUGAAGAGCCUCUGUUGGUGAUCAGAACUACAACUUGGUGCCUACCGAGUUCACUCCGCGUUCAAUGUCAGUACAUUUCGACCCCAGCAUUGAAUGAUCAGGAAGCAGUGAUGCACCUCUUGAGAAGCAGGCAUACGGGUGGGAGCUGAUGAAGUCGUGGUCGCAGUUAAAGGCGACGACUCUCUUCACAUGAG